ACGCUCGACACCUACGGGAAGCAGCAGUUGGGAAUAUUGGACAAUGGAGGAAACUCUGAUCCAGUGACGCCGCGUGAAGGAAGAAGGUCUUCGGAUUGUAAACUUAUUUUGUCAGGGAAGAAAAAUGACUGUACCUGAAGAAAAAGCACCGGCUAACUACGUGCCAGCAGCCGCGGUAAUCUGAGCGGGCUGGCAAGGC
RNAcentral lists this ribosomal RNA (199 nucleotides) under uncultured bacterium. RNAcentral's name for it is "partial 16S ribosomal RNA". It matches the Rfam family "Bacterial small subunit ribosomal RNA", at positions 326 to 539 of the family's 1533-position model. The record is from RNAcentral.